CCUACGGGUGGCUGCAGUGGGGGAUAUUGCACAAUGGGGGGAACCCUGAUGCAGCGACGCCGCGUGGGUGAAGAAGCGCCUCGGCGCGUAAAGCCCUGUCAGCAGGGAAGAAAAUGACGGUACCUGAAAAAGAAGCACCGGCUAAAUACGUGCCAGCAGCCGCGGUAAUACGUAGGGGGCAAGCGUUGUCCGGAUUUACGGGGUGGAAAGGGUGCGCAGACGGCGUUGCAAGCAAUGAGUUAAAGCCCGGGGGCCAACCCCGGGACUGCGCUUGGAACUGCGUGGCUGGAGUGCAGGAGGGGGAGGCGGAAUUCCUGGUGUAGCGGUGAAAUGCGUAGAUAUCAGGAGGAACACCGGUGGCGAAGGCGGCCUGCUGGACUGCAACUGACGUUGAGGCCCGAAAGCGUGGGGAGCAAACAGGAUUAGAUACCCCAGUAGUC
This 440-nucleotide ribosomal RNA is filed under the name uncultured bacterium. RNAcentral's name for it is "partial 16S ribosomal RNA". It matches the Rfam family "Bacterial small subunit ribosomal RNA", at positions 338 to 795 of the family's 1533-position model. The record is from RNAcentral.